Molecule: long non-coding RNA, 2482 nt
Organism: Astatotilapia calliptera (eastern happy)
Lineage: Eukaryota; Metazoa; Chordata; Actinopteri; Cichliformes; Cichlidae
Source: Ensembl
UCUAGAUUAACUAGGCAGGGACCUGACACAGAAAAACUAACUGGUAGGGACAGAUAGAGAGGGACAGAGAGAAGGAGACGGAGGAGAGAUGGAGGGAGAGACAGGAUGGGAAAGAGGAGAGGCAGGGAAAGAUACCAGCAUAGAGUGAGUUCAGGGAAAGAAACGGAGGGAAUUCAGUAAUAAGGAAGGGAAAAAAGAGCCACAGAAAGGUCUGUUACUUGGCUUUGAGGACAGGGACAGCUGAGAUUUUAAUGGGAUUCUUAAACUUAAGAGUAAUUCUUGACCGACAGAGACAGACCAACGAACACAGACUCUCACACUUUAACUUGCACAUGCUGUACAUUCAGUACAUGUAACAGACUGUAGGUGGCACUAUAAUUUAGACUUUUUAAGACCUACUACAUGUAGUUAGGGACCGACAGGUGUCUAAAUUCUGUUCAUUUUCUGGGUGAUACAUUUCUUUUCCGGGGAAUAGGAUUCAGUAUAAAUUACUUCAUCCAUAGUCACUGAAACAAUACUUAACUGUAAGAUAAUCUAGCUAUCUUCAUCUGUGUUUCCUACCUUCAUUUUUGACCAGAGUGCUGCUUCACAGAGCUUUCUAUCUAUCAGACGUAUUCCUGUCACAUUUUCUACCUGAUCAAACCAGAGUAAGAGAGCAGGAGGGAAAAAAACUAAGCAUCUUUUCCUCUUGGCUUCACAGCAACCAUUCCUCUAGGAAGGGAGGAUUAGGGCUAACACAUUUGUUUUCUCUCCAGAGGGGGAGGAAAUAUUACCAAGAAAAUCACAUUUUUAGUUGUCUCUGUGCAGUUUUGUGCGUGUGAAUGUGCACGCGCGCACGUGUGUGCAUGUGCAGUUUAUAAAUCCUUACUUCGGCAUUCUGUGUUAACAGUCCGUGAAAUGUGUAUUGUUUUUGAUAUGGUACCGAGCUAAAACUUGACUCCCACCGCGAUGUCCUUUGGCACCUGUUAACUGUGACCAAGUGUGUGUGUUUGUUUGUUUUUUUGUAUGUGUGUGAGUGUGUAUGUGUUUGUCUACAUUCGUACUGAUAUCCAUUUGAUGCCAUAUCAAUAUCUUAAGUAAAACAGUGAUUGGCAGUGUCAUUGUGAUCUUUAUAAUGUUUUAAAACUGGUCCUUUUUUUGCUGCUACUGAUGAUUCUUGUUUUUGUUUUUGUUUUGUUUUUUUAUAUAGUGGAUUUAAAUUCGCACACUUAACACAAAAAAUGAAUUAAUGCUAUUUUCAGUGACUGUUAAGUUGUUUUUUUGCACUUUUUAAAAAAAAUUUAUUUUACCUAUAUUUUGUUUUUGUAUGGAUUUUUUUUUUAACCUCACCCAUAUGAUAUGGUUUGACCCUAAUGUCAGUGUUUGUCAUACUGUGUUGCACUGUGAAAUUAAGUGUCUGUGACUGGCAAAAAUAUCCCAAUACUAAAUGGCAAAUAAAAAUAACUUUGUGAAACUGCGACUAAUCCGCACUUUUACAAUGACUAACCUUGCCAUAUUGCUGAGUGGUACGUGUGUGCGUGUGAAUGUAUGUGUGUGUGUGUGUGUGAUCCUGCAUGUGUAGGUGCGCAUGAGUACCUUUUUUUUUUUACCUAUGAGCAUGUUUUUGAUAGUUUAGUUAUGAUGUGUGCACAGUAGGGAUGCAAAUGAUAUUUUCUUUCUGUAUUUGGAAGGGUUGUAGCCUGCCCCAGCAUACUUUGUGUGCAUGCUCAGUGUCGGUGUUUUCACUUUGCGUGCGUGAAAGUGUGUGUGUGUGUGUGUGUGUGUGUGCAGUUUGAUGGAUAUUUUAGAAAAAAAUGAUUGCCCUUUACACACCAACACACCACCUCAAAUCACAAUAAGACAAGAGCACAGUACACUUAAAAUAAUAAAAGCUAGGACACUGCCAAAGAGCAAUAGCCACUGAAAUUUUAAAAGCAGACAGUGAUUAGAGGUGAGCUGCUAUUUCCAAUAGUCACCUUGUUUGUCGUGCUGGUGUAGAGUUAGACGCACAGUGGGGCUUUUAUGGAUAAUCAUUGUUAAGGUUUUUCCAGCAAAAUUGACUACAGGGAUUUUUUUUUUUUUCCAUUUGAUAAUCUGCCAGUGUUUUGCAGCAUGUUGACAUUUGGAAACACGCAGUGGUACUUGGUUUGACCUAGACUGUGACCAUAGAGAUAAUCAAACCGAUCCUUAGUUAUUUCAAAUAUGAGAUAAUCUCAACCCCAGUUUAAUUCUCUCGCCACUGUCUCUUAGUUCAAAGCUUGAAAACACAUAAAAAUGUUUGUGGUUGCUUGUUUUUUGCUUUACUGCUAUUUUUUUUUUUUUUUUUUUAAAUCUUCAUGAGCAGUUUUUGUAUUGGCAAGGUCGGUGUAUUUUGUUUCUUUGUCUUCUUCAGUGCCAGCAAGAUUAUGAUGAAUUUGAAGUGAAAGUGGGGGCAUCACGGCUUCUUUAAGAGGAAAAGAAGCAGUUUAUGUGUCCGUUCUGUUUAUAUAAUAAAAAGCAUGAU